RNAcentral lists this ribosomal RNA (1345 nucleotides) under uncultured bacterium. Its description in RNAcentral is "bacterial SSU rRNA". It matches the Rfam family "Bacterial small subunit ribosomal RNA", at positions 28 to 1381 of the family's 1533-position model. The record is from RNAcentral.
GAUGAACGCUAGCGGGAGGCCUAACACAUGCAAGCCGAGCGGUAUUGUUUCUUCGGAAAUGAGAGAGCGGCGUACGGGUGCGGAACACGUGUGCAACCUGCCUUUAUCUGGGGGAUAGCCUUUCGAAAGGAAGAUUAAUACUCCAUAAUAUAUUGAACGGCAUCGUUUAAUAUUGAAAGCUCCGGCGGAUAGAGAUGGGCGCGCGCAAGAUUAGCUAGUUGGUGAGGUAACGGCUCACCAAGGCGAUGAUCUUUAGGGGGCCUGAGAGGGUGAUCCCCCACACUGGUACUGAGACACGGACCAGACUCCUACGGGAGGCAGCAGUGAGGAAUAUUGGUCAAUGGGUGCAAGCCUGAACCAGCCAUCCCGCGUGAAGGACGACUGCCCUAUGGGUUGUAAACUUCUUUUGUAUAGGGAUAAACCUACCCUCGUGAGGGUAGCUGAAGGUACUAUACGAAUAAGCACCGGCUAACUCCGUGCCAGCAGCCGCGGUAAUACGGAGGGUGCAAGCGUUAUCCGGAUUUAUUGGGUUUAAAGGGUCCGUAGGCGGACUUAUAAGUCAGUGGUGAAAGCCUGUCGCUUAACGAUAGAACUGCCAUUGAUACUGUAAGUCUUGAGUAUAUUUGAGGUAGCUGGAAUAAGUAGUGUAGCGGUGAAAUGCAUAGAUAUUACUUAGAACACCAAUUGCGAAGGCAGGUUACCAAGAUAUAACUGACGCUGAGGGACGAAAGCGUGGGGAGCGAACAGGAUUAGAUACCCUGGUAGUCCACGCCGUAAACGAUGCUAACUCGUUUUUGGGCUUUAGGGUUCAGAGACCAAGCGAAAGUGAUAAGUUAGCCACCUGGGGAGUACGCUCGCAAGAGUGAGACUCAAAGGAAUUGACGGGGGCCCGCACAAGCGGUGGAUUAUGUGGUUUAAUUCGAUGAUACGCGAGGAACCUUACCAAGACUUAAAUGGGAAUUGACAGCUUUAGAAAUAGAGCUUUCUUCGGACAAUUUUCAAGGUGCUGCAUGGUUGUCGUCAGCUCGUGCCGUGAGGUGUUAGGUUAAGUCCUGCAACGAGCGCAACCCCUGUCACUAGUUGCCAUCAUUCAGUUGGGGACUCUAGUGAGACUGCCUACGCAAGUAGAGAGGAAGGUGGGGAUGACGUCAAAUCAUCACGGCCCUUACGUCUUGGGCCACACACGUAAUACAAUGGCCGGUACAGAGGGCAGCUACACAGCGAUGUGAUGCAAAUCUCGAAAGCCGGUCUCAGUUCGGAUUGGAGUCUGCAACUCGACUCUAUGAAGCUGGAAUCGCUAGUAAUCGCGCAUCAGCCAUGGCGCGGUGAAUACGUUCCCGGGCCU